GACGGAGGAUGCAAGCGUUAUCCGGAAUGAUUGGGCGUAAAGCGUCCGCAGGUGGCAGUUCAAGUCUGCUGUCAAAGACCGGGGCUUAACUUCGGAAAGGCAGUGGAAACUGAACAGCUAGAGUAUGGUAGGGGCAGAGGGAAUUCCUGGUGUAGCGGUGAAAUGCGCAGAUAUCAGGAAGAACACCAAUGGCGAAAGCAGCUUUCUGGGACGGUACUGACGCUGAGACGCGAAAGCGUGGGGAGCGAACAGG
This 253-nucleotide ribosomal RNA is filed under the name uncultured bacterium. Its description in RNAcentral is "partial 16S ribosomal RNA". It matches the Rfam family "Bacterial small subunit ribosomal RNA", at positions 524 to 776 of the family's 1533-position model. The record is from RNAcentral.